This 355-nucleotide long non-coding RNA is filed under the name Coffea arabica (coffee). Its description in RNAcentral is "long non-coding RNA (CARA_LNC004845)". The record is from RNAcentral. Lineage: Eukaryota; Viridiplantae; Streptophyta; Magnoliopsida; Gentianales; Rubiaceae.
UUCCAUGUAAAGGUUUGCCUAGCUUGGAUGAUUUGUACAAAUAUGUGUUCAUUGACCUCACAAGACUCGAAAACUUACAUAUUUUGAGGAAAUUACUUGGGAAAUUAAGAAGGGGUUGGGAUGUACAGCAGGGAACAACUAAUUUAUGGACUUUCCUUUCUUCAAUUUUUAUUCCGUGAGGGAGCUGGUGGCCGUGGAAGGGCAGGAAUCAGGGGCCUGGUCAUGGUGUCAUUUUGAUAACUUUAUCUAUGAUUUUGGUGGCUAAUGUUUUUUGUUAAUGCAAAUGCAAGGCACAACUUUACAGGGUUCCACUGUAGUUUAACUUGCUCCGCUCGUCUUUCAGUUUCCAGUCUUG